This 253-nucleotide unclassified non-coding RNA is filed under the name uncultured Nitriliruptoraceae bacterium. RNAcentral's name for it is "contains 16S-23S intergenic spacer region". It matches the Rfam family "Bacterial small subunit ribosomal RNA", at positions 524 to 776 of the family's 1533-position model. Lineage: Bacteria; Bacillati; Actinomycetota; Nitriliruptoria; Nitriliruptorales; Nitriliruptoraceae. The record is from RNAcentral.
UACGUAGGGGGCGAGCGUUGUCCGGAAUCAUUGGGCGUAAAGCGCACGUAGGCGGCCCUGUAAGUCGAAUGUGAAAUCCCGAGGCUCAACCUCGGAACUGCAUUCGGUACUGCAGGGCUUGAGGAAGGUAGAGGAGAGUGGAAUUCCCGGUGUAGCGGUGGAAUGCGCAGAUAUCGGGAGGAACACCAGCGGCGAAGGCGGCUCUCUGGGCCUUACCUGACGCUGAGGUGCGAAAGCGUGGGGAGCGAACAGG